This 400-nucleotide ribosomal RNA is filed under the name uncultured bacterium. RNAcentral's name for it is "bacterial SSU rRNA". It matches the Rfam family "Bacterial small subunit ribosomal RNA", at positions 355 to 747 of the family's 1533-position model. The record is from RNAcentral.
UGGGGAAUAUUGCACAAUGGGGGAAACCCUGAUGCAGCCAUGCCGCGUGUGUGAAGAAGGCCUUCGGGUUGUAAAGCACUUUCAGCGAGGAGGAAGGGGAGUGAGCUAAUACCUCGCUUCAUUGACGUUACUCGCAGAAGAAGCACCGGCUAACUCCGUGCCAGCAGCCGCGGUAAUACGGAGGGUGCAAGCGUUAAUCGGAAUUACUGGGCGUAAAGCGCACGCAGGCGGUUGGAUAAGCCAGAUGUGAAAGCCCCGAGCUCAACUUGGGAAUAGCAUUUGGAACUGUCCGGCUAGAGUCUUGUAGAGGGGGGUAGAAUUCCAGGUGUAGCGGUGAAAUGCGUAGAGAUCUGGAGGAAUACCGGUGGCGAAGGCGGCCCCCUGGACAAAGACUGACGCU